Molecule: transfer RNA, 96 nt
Filed under: Candidatus Aminicenantes bacterium ADurb.Bin147
Lineage: Bacteria; Candidatus Aminicenantota
Description: tRNA-Ser
Source: RNAcentral
CCGGCGUGGGCGAUGCCGGAAUACGCCAGGAGGCGCUUGAGAUUCCGCUGGCGGAGGGCGGCGAAAUUCCCGAGGAUCAUCGUCGCGACGGCGGCC